This 768-nucleotide ribosomal RNA is filed under the name uncultured Acaulospora. Its description in RNAcentral is "SSU rRNA". It matches the Rfam family "Eukaryotic small subunit ribosomal RNA", at positions 342 to 1108 of the family's 1831-position model. Lineage: Eukaryota; Fungi; Glomeromycota; Glomeromycetes; Diversisporales; Acaulosporaceae. The record is from RNAcentral.
UACCAUGGUGGUAACGGGUAACGGGGUGUUAGGGCACGACACCGGAGAGGGAGCCUGAGAAACGGCUACCACAUCCAAGGAAGGCAGCAGGCGCGCAAAUUACCCAAUCCCGACACUGGGAGGUAGUGACAAUAAAUAACAAUAUGGGGCUCUUACGAGUCUUGUAACUGGAAUGAGUACAAUUUAAAUCUCUUAACGAGGAACAAUUGGAGGGCAAGUCUGGUGCCAGCAGCCGCGGUAAUUCCAGCUCCAAUAGCGUAUAUUAAAGUUGUUGCAGUUAAAAAGCUCGUAGUUGAAUUUCGGGAUUUAUCCGUCGGUCGGGCUUUUGGGGUCUGUACUGGCGUGAUGGAUUCCUACCUUCUGAAUAACCGGCAUGUCAUUAAUUUGGUGCGCCGGGGAAGCAGGACUGUUACCUUGAAAAAAUUAGAGUGCUUAAAGCAGGCUUAUGCCUGAAUACAUUAGCAUGGAAUAAUGAAAUAGGACGGCAUGGUUCUAUUUUGUUGGUUUCUAGGAUCACCGUAAUGAUUAAUAGGGAUAGUUGGGGGCAUUAGUAUUCAAUUGUCAGAGGUGAAAUUCUUGGAUUUAUUGAAGACUAACUUCUGCGAAAGCAUUUGCCAAGGAUGUUUUCAUUAAUCAAGAACGAAAGUUAGGGGAUCGAAGACGAUCAGAUACCGUCGUAGUCUUAACCAUAAACUAUGCCGACUAGGGAUCGGACGAUGUUAAUUUUUUAAUGACUCGUUCGGCGCCUUACGGGAAACCAAAGUGUUU